GAUGAACGCUAGCGGGAGGCUUAAUACAUGCAAGUCGAGGGGCAGCAUGACUGAACCUAGUUUAGUUGAUGGCGACCGGCGCACGGGUGAGUAACGCGUACGCAACUUACCUCCGAGUGGGGCAUAGCCCUGGGAAACUGGGAUUAAUACCCCAUAGUAUUCAGAAACCGCAUGGUUUUUGGAUUAAAGUGUUAGCGCUCGGAGAUAGGCGUGCGUCCUAUUAGCUAGUUGGUGAGGUAACGGCUCACCAAGGCUUCGAUAGGUAGGGGGCGUGAGAGCGUGACCCCCCACACGGGUACUGAGACACGGACCCGACUCCUACGGGAGGCAGCAGUAAGGAAUAUUGGACAAUGGGCGAAAGCCUGAUCCAGCCAUCCCGCGUGCAGGAUGACGGCCCUAUGGGUUGUAAACUGCUUUUAUUUGGGAAGAAACCUAGUCCAUCUGGACUAGCUGACGGUACCAUAUGAAUAAGCACCGGCUAACUCCG
RNAcentral lists this ribosomal RNA (487 nucleotides) under uncultured Saprospiraceae bacterium. RNAcentral describes it as "bacterial SSU rRNA". It matches the Rfam family "Bacterial small subunit ribosomal RNA", at positions 28 to 505 of the family's 1533-position model. Lineage: Bacteria; Pseudomonadati; Bacteroidota; Saprospiria; Saprospirales; Saprospiraceae. The record is from RNAcentral.